GGAUGCAAUCAUCUAAUUAUCAAUUCUGAUAAUAUGAAGGUCAUUGACACAAUGAACAACGGAGGACGGUCUGCGGGGGCGGCUGCUGCAAUUUUUGAGGAUUGUUUUUCUAUGGCCUGUGAUUUUUCUCAAACCAAUUUUGAACAUUGUAAUAGGGAAGCGAAUAAAGUAGCUCAUGAGCUUGCUAGAUUAGCAAAAUGUUUCAUGACUAGCGAUUGGAUAGAGGAGCCCAUGAAAAAUCUUGUAACUUUCUUAUAG
RNAcentral lists this ribosomal RNA (258 nucleotides) under Triticum aestivum (bread wheat). RNAcentral's name for it is "partial small subunit ribosomal RNA". The record is from RNAcentral. Lineage: Eukaryota; Viridiplantae; Streptophyta; Magnoliopsida; Poales; Poaceae.